RNAcentral lists this long non-coding RNA (460 nucleotides) under Chinchilla lanigera (long-tailed chinchilla). RNAcentral describes it as "lncRNA (ENSCLAG00000023411.1)". Lineage: Eukaryota; Metazoa; Chordata; Mammalia; Rodentia; Chinchillidae. The record is from RNAcentral.
CAAGAUGAGAGGAAACAUCUGGACCUCACUCAUAACCUGCUCACACUGGAUGAAUCUCAAGAGCUUCACUCUUUGGAUGACACAGAAGCACAAACAGCAGGAGAAUCAAGGUAAACACGUCCUGCCUGUGCUGUCCCAGGACCUCCGCUACUCACUGGACUCAUGGCUGGCUGUGAGCUCCUCACACAUGGAGUAUGCCCAUAAAUGCUCCUUAAUACAAGUUCACGAAAUAAGAAAGAAAAGAUUUGACAAGCUCACUCAUCGUGGAAGACAGAAAGCCAAUCCCAUUUAUGCAGCUAUCUGAGUAAUUGUAUUAACCCUCUCCCAAAGCAGCAUCAUGUGACCUUUAGAAAGACCUACAGUUCUGCUGAGAUCCAAGACUGAAAUGCCAAGGGCAAAUAUCCCACCAGCUCACAGCUGCACUCACCAUCUGAUGGCACCUGCAUGAAAACCUGAUGCA